AUUGAACGCUGGCGGCAUGCCUUACACAUGCAGGUCGAACGGCAGCACGGGAGCAAUCCUGGUGGCGAGUGGCGAACGGGUGAGUAAAGUAUCGGAACGUGCCCAGUCGUGGGGGAUAACGUAGCGAAAGUUACGCUAAUACCGCAUACGAUCUAUGGAUGAAAGCGGGGGAUCGCAAGACCUCGCGCGAUUGGAGCGGCCGAUAUCAGAUUAGGUAGUUGGUGGGAUAAAGGCCCACCAAGCCAACGAUCUGUAGCUGGUCUGAGAGGACGACCAGCCACACUGGAACUGAGACACGGUCCAGACUCCUACGGGAGGCAGCAGUGGGGAAUUUUGGACAAUGGGCGAAAGCCUGAUCCAGCCAUUCCGCGUGCAGGAUGAAGGCCCUCGGGUUGUAAACUGCUUUUGUACAGAACGAAAAGGUUUCUACUAAUACUAGGAGCUCAUGACGGUACUGUAAGAAUAAGCACCGGCUAACUACGUGCCAGCCGCCGCCGUAA
Molecule: ribosomal RNA, 500 nt
Filed under: uncultured bacterium
Lineage: Bacteria
Description: partial 16S ribosomal RNA
Rfam family: Bacterial small subunit ribosomal RNA
Source: RNAcentral